UACGUAGGGCGCAAGCGUUAUCCGGAAUUAUUGGGCGUAAAGAGCGUGUAGGCGGUUUGAUAGGUCAGCUGUGAAAACUCGGGGGCUCAACCCUGAGACGUCGGUUGAAACCAUCUGGCUAGAGUCCGGAAGAGGAGUGUGGAAUUCCUGGUGUAGCGGUGAAAUGCGCAGAUAUCAGGAGGAACACCGAUGGCGAAGGCAGGUCUCGUGGGCAUUAACUGACGCUGAGGAGCGAAAGCAUGGGGAGCGAACAGG
This 255-nucleotide ribosomal RNA is filed under the name uncultured bacterium. RNAcentral's name for it is "partial 16S ribosomal RNA". It matches the Rfam family "Bacterial small subunit ribosomal RNA", at positions 524 to 776 of the family's 1533-position model. The record is from RNAcentral.